RNAcentral lists this non-coding RNA (213 nucleotides) under Manganibacter manganicus. Lineage: Bacteria; Pseudomonadati; Pseudomonadota; Alphaproteobacteria; Hyphomicrobiales; Phyllobacteriaceae. The record is from RNAcentral.
ACUAGAUGUGGUAGUCAUGGUUCUCCUGAGUCUAGUGGGCUCAGGGGCUAAGAGGGAAGCCGGUGCCCCGAUGUCGGGAAUUCCGGCGCUGCCCCCGCAACUGUAAGCAGCGAGCUGCUGUCCGCAAAACGCCACUGGUUUCGAUGCACCGGGAAGGUUGGACAGCGACGACGACCUGCGAGCCAGGAGACCUGCCGUGAUGCAUGAACCAAC